Molecule: ribosomal RNA, 119 nt
Filed under: Vibrio parahaemolyticus
Lineage: Bacteria; Pseudomonadati; Pseudomonadota; Gammaproteobacteria; Vibrionales; Vibrionaceae
Description: partial 23S ribosomal RNA
Rfam family: Bacterial large subunit ribosomal RNA (bases 1-101)
Source: RNAcentral
CCCUCAAGGAGUGUCGGAGACUACGACGUUGAUAGGUCAGGUGUGUAAGUGCUGUGAGGCAUUGAGCUAACUGAUACUAAUUGCCCGUGAGGCUUAACCAUACAACACCCAAGGGGUUU